Molecule: ribosomal RNA, 482 nt
Filed under: uncultured bacterium
Lineage: Bacteria
Description: partial 16S ribosomal RNA
Rfam family: Bacterial small subunit ribosomal RNA
Source: RNAcentral
AUUGAACGCUGGCGGCAUGCCUUACACAUGCAAGUCGAACGGUAACGCGGGGCAACCUGGCGACGAGUGGCGAACGGGUGAGUAAUGCAUCGGAACGUGCCCAGAAGUGGGGGAUAGCCCGGCGAAAGCCGGAUUAAUACCGCAUGAGACCUGAGGGUGAAGGCGGGGGAUCGCAAGACCUCGCGCUUUUGGAGCGGCCGAUGUCAGAUUAGCUAGUUGGUGGGGUAAAGGCCUACCAAGGCGACGAUCUGUAGCUGGUCUGAGAGGACGACCAGCCACACUGGGACUGAGACACGGCCCAGACUCCUACGGGAGGCAGCAGUGGGGAAUUUUGGACAAUGGGCGCAAGCCUGAUCCAGCCAUGCCGCGUGCGGGAAGAAGGCCUUCGGGUUGUAAACCGCUUUUGUCAGGGAAGAAACGCUCUGGGCUAAUACCCUGGGGUAAUGACGGUACCUGAAGAAUAAGCACCGGCUAACUACGUG